Molecule: ribosomal RNA, 509 nt
Filed under: uncultured Oscillospiraceae bacterium
Lineage: Bacteria; Bacillati; Bacillota; Clostridia; Eubacteriales; Oscillospiraceae
Description: partial 16S ribosomal RNA
Source: RNAcentral
CACGUAGUUAGCCGUGGCUUCCUCCUUGGCUACCGUCAUUAUCGUCACCAAGGACAGAGGUUUUACAAUCCGAAAAACCUUCUUCCCUCACGCGGCGUCGCUGGGUCAGGGUUUCCCCCAUUGCCCAAUAUUCCCCACUGCUGCCUCCCGUAGGAGUCUGGGCCGUGUCUCAGUCCCAAUGUGGCCGUUCAACCUCUCAGUCCGGCUACCAAUCGUCGGCAUGGUGGGCCUCUACCCCGCCAUCUACCUAAUUGGACGCGAGCCCAUCUCUCAGCGGAUUGCUCCUUUGAUUGCAAAAACCCAUGCGGCUCUGCAAUGUUAUGCGGUAUUAGCGAUCGUUUCCAAUCGUUACUCCCCCGUCUGAAAGGCAGGUUGCUCACGCGUUACUCACCCGUCCGCCACUCGAAUAUGCCUUCCUCGGCCGAAGCCUUGUCCAGCAUAUCCCCGUUCGACUUGCAUGUGUUAGGCGCGCCGCCAGCGUGUCUGUGUCACGCUACGAACUACUCUAC